This 581-nucleotide ribosomal RNA is filed under the name Pseudomonas aeruginosa. RNAcentral describes it as "bacterial SSU rRNA". It matches the Rfam family "Bacterial small subunit ribosomal RNA", at positions 146 to 724 of the family's 1533-position model. Lineage: Bacteria; Pseudomonadati; Pseudomonadota; Gammaproteobacteria; Pseudomonadales; Pseudomonadaceae. The record is from RNAcentral.
ACGUCCGGAACGGGCGCUAAUACCGCAUACGUCCUGAGGGAGAAAGUGGGGGAUCUUCGGACCUCACGCUAUCAGAUGAGCCUAGGUCGGAUUAGCUAGUUGGUGGGGUAAAGGCCUACCAAGGCGACGAUCCGUAACUGGUCUGAGAGGAUGAUCAGUCACACUGGAACUGAGACACGGUCCAGACUCCUACGGGAGGCAGCAGUGGGGAAUAUUGGACAAUGGGCGAAAGCCUGAUCCAGCCAUGCCGCGUGUGUGAAGAAGGUCUUCGGAUUGUAAAGCACUUUAAGUUGGGAGGAAGGGCAGUAAGUUAAUACCUUGCUGUUUUGACGUUACCAACAGAAUAAGCACCGGCUAACUUCGUGCCAGCAGCCGCGGUAAUACGAAGGGUGCAAGCGUUAAUCGGAAUUACUGGGCGUAAAGCGCGCGUAGGUGGUUCAGCAAGUUGGAUGUGAAAUCCCCGGGCUCAACCUGGGAACUGCAUCCAAAACUACUGAGCUAGAGUACGGUAGAGGGUGGUGGAAUUUCCUGUGUAGCGGUGAAAUGCGUAGAUAUAGGAAGGAACACCAGUGAGAGAAAGG